RNAcentral lists this ribosomal RNA (477 nucleotides) under uncultured bacterium. RNAcentral describes it as "bacterial SSU rRNA". It matches the Rfam family "Bacterial small subunit ribosomal RNA", at positions 365 to 832 of the family's 1533-position model. The record is from RNAcentral.
UUCGCAAUGCCCGAAAGGGUGACGAAGCGACGCCGCGUGUGGGAAGAAGGCCUUCGGGUUGUAAACCGCUGUUGGGAGUUAGGAAGUGUGGGAGUGUUAAUAGCGUCUCUGCUUGACUAAGGCUCCGGAGGAAGCCACGGCUAACUCUGUGCCAGCAGCCGCGGUAAUACAGAGGCGGCAAGCGUUGUUCGGAAUUAUUGGGCGUAAAGAGCACGUAGGCGGCCGUGUAAGUCGGUUGUGAAAGCCUUUCGCUCAACGGAAGGACGGCAUCCGAUACUGCAUGGCUCGAGUGCGGGAGGGGAGAGUGGAACUUCUGGUGGAGCGGUGAAAUGCGUAGAUAUCAGAAGGAACACCGGCGGCGAAGGCGACUCUCUGGUCCGUAACUGACGCUGAGUGUGCGAAAGCUAGGGGAGCAAACGGGAUUAGAUACCCCGGUAGUCCCAGCCGUAAACGAUGGGCACUAAGUAGAGGGGUUUU